GAUGAAGAACGUAGCGAAAUGCGAUACUUGGUGUGAAUUGCAGAAUCCCGUGAACCAUCGAGUCUUUGAACGCAAGUUGCGCCCGAAGCCAUUAGGCCGAGGGCACGCCUGCCUGGGCGUCACACGUCGUUGCCCCCCCAUCUACUCCUUCGGGAUUGCGGGGGGCGGAUGAUGGCCUCCCGUGCGCCUCGUCGCGCGGUUGGCAUAAAUGCCAAGUCCUCGGCGACGCACGCCACGACAAUCGGUGGUUGCGAAACCUCGGUUGCCUGUCGUGUGCGGUCGUCGCGCAUCGAGGGCUCGAAAAAAUUGUCGGGCUCCGGCUCGGCUUUCAACGCGACCCCAAGUCAGGCGGGGUUACCCGCUGAAUUUAAGCAUAUCAAUAAGCGGAGGA
RNAcentral lists this unclassified non-coding RNA (391 nucleotides) under soil metagenome. Its description in RNAcentral is "partial contains 5.8S ribosomal RNA, internal transcribed spacer 2, and large subunit ribosomal RNA". The stretch from base 1 to 122 matches the Rfam family "5.8S ribosomal RNA", at positions 35 to 154 of the family's 154-position model. The record is from RNAcentral.